AUAACACUUGCAGUAAAAAUCAUGACAGCACAUAGUUUUAAUCACUGUCCGUUGUCCAAGUACAUUCCUGGUCCAAAGCAUAACAGAAAAAAAAAGUACAAAUAUUCAAGGAAAAGAUAGCCAAGAAAAAUAUGGUCAGUCAAGAUACUUAAUUCGGGUUUGUAAGGUAGCUAAUAUUAUUUGUGGAAACUAAUGCUACAUCUGUGCCCAAACUGAAGAGCAAAAACUUUUUAUCAGGAUUAUCUGCAACAUAGUCUUUUCCCGUUUGCAGUUGCACAGCUCAGCCAUUAUUUUGCAUAGAGGAAAGAAGACAAACAUCAUUCUAAGACAGUAUCUGCACAUCAGUGAAAAUUUUCAUGGAAAGUUUUGGUACACCAAAGUUCAGAUAACUUUUGUCAUAGUAGCUGAACACACAAACUGAAUGGGUUAUAUGAAACAUGGACAGCAAGUGCACACCAGUUUAGCUAAGGCCUAAGGUCCCCAAGUGACUACAGUCUAUAAACAAGACUACUUCCAAGGGCUUAGAACAGACAACAGCCCAUGAGAAAACUGACUGUUACCCUACAAAUCUCUGCAGGUAAUUGCCAAAUAUGCUGGUGAUAAAAUAUAUUUCAGUCAGGGCUAGAAUGUAUAAAUGUUAGAAGGUAUUAAUGUUAGAGGAAGCUACUGUAUACCUAUAAGCAUAAAGAUUGCUGAGAUUGUUAUCCAGGAAGGUUGGUAAGAGUGCCACUCAGCUUCUUUUCAUUGUAGAACACAACCAUGGCAAUUUGGUUAAUUGGACAGUUAAAGUUGCUCUUGAUCCAUUCACCACUCAUUCUCUAUUAUAUCUGGGGAUUUCCUAGCCCAGCUGCAUGACCUUGUCCUCUUGCACUUGGCCUCUUUGAACUUCAUGAGGUUCAUGGGCACCUUCCUCAAACCUGUCAAGACCCCUCUGGACAUCAUCCCUUCACUCUAGCAUAUCAACUGCUCCUUCCUCCAAGAUGAGACAGUUUGGGCCUUUCUCACUCCCUUCUCUCUUUUUCUUCAGCCCUCUUAGGAAGAAACCAAGAAACUGAAAUCUUGGCCUUGCUCUUGGCAGUCCAAGAUCAAAAAGUUUUACAGAGAACAAUGAAACUCGGUAUCAAAAAUCUAAUCCUAUAACAAAUAUAAUAUGUUAAAAUUUGAAAGGUUUCCUUUGAAAAUGAAGAGAUGUAAAUCUGAAACUGAAGAGGACAUGCUUUGGGGAGACCAGAAUUUUAGAAAGGUGAAGCAAGGAAUGGAGGUGCAUUAUAGAAAGGAAUUAAAUGGACAGAGUUAUAUUGAACUUCUCCAAUACUUAAUUUGAAUUAAAAAGUAAUGUACAUAUAUUUUUGGAUGAAUAGUUCAUAAUUCACACUGCUGAAUAUUGUCUGAUUCCUGAAGAGUUCAUAAAACAUAAUGACUUGGAUGUA
Molecule: long non-coding RNA, 1430 nt
Organism: Oxyura jamaicensis (ruddy duck)
Lineage: Eukaryota; Metazoa; Chordata; Aves; Anseriformes; Anatidae
Exons: 3
Source: RefSeq, a predicted model, not a curated record